AGCGAACGCUGGCGGCAGGCUUAACACAUGCAAGUCGAACGCCCCGCAAGGGGAGUGGCAGACGGGUGAGUAAUACGUGGGAACGUACCCUUUGGUUCGGAAUAACUUGGGGAAACUCAAGCUAAUACCGGAUAGGCCUUUAUGGGGAAAGGUUUACUGCCGAAGGAUCGGCCCGCGUCUGAUUAGCUAGUUGGUGAGGUAAUGGCUCACCAAGGCGACGAUCAGUAGCUGGUCUGAGAGGAUGAUCAGCCACACUGGGACUGAGACACGGCCCAGACUCCUACGGGAGGCAGCAGUGGGGAAUAUUGGACAAUGGGGGCAACCCUGAUCCAGCCAUGCCGCGUGAGUGAUGAAGGCCUUAGGGUUGUAAAGCUCUUUUACCCGGGACGAUAAUGACUGUACCGGGAGAAUAAGCCCCGGCUAACUUCGUGCCAGCCGCCGCAGUAA
This 447-nucleotide ribosomal RNA is filed under the name uncultured bacterium. RNAcentral's name for it is "partial 16S ribosomal RNA". It matches the Rfam family "Bacterial small subunit ribosomal RNA", at positions 29 to 523 of the family's 1533-position model. The record is from RNAcentral.